Molecule: ribosomal RNA, 510 nt
Filed under: uncultured bacterium
Lineage: Bacteria
Description: bacterial SSU rRNA
Rfam family: Bacterial small subunit ribosomal RNA
Source: RNAcentral
GAUGAACGCUAGCGACAGGCCUAACACAUGCAAGUCGAGGGGCAUCGGGGCGUAGCAAUACGCUGCCGGCGACCGGCGGAUGGGUGAGUAACGCGUAUGCAACCUGCCUUCAGCAGGGGGAUAGCCCGUUGAAAGACGGAUUAAUACCCCGUAACACAGGGGCUCCGCAUGGAGAUUAUUGUUAAAGGGAUACUUCCUUCGGGGGGUAUUCCGGCUGAAGAUGGGCAUGCGUUCCAUUAGGUAGUUGGUUGAGGUAACGGCUCACCAAGCCUACGAUGGAUAGGGGAACUGAGAGGUUGGUCCCCCACACUGGUACUGAGACACGGACCAGACUCCUACGGGAGGCAGCAGUGAGGAAUCUUGGUCAAUGGACGGAAGUCUGAACCAGCCAUGUCGCGUGAAGGAGGACGGCCCUAAGGGUUGUAAACUUCUUUUGCAGCGGAAUAAAGUAUUCCACGAGAUGGGAUAUUGACAAGUACGCUGCGAAUAAGGAUCGGCUAACUCCGUGCC